Long non-coding RNA from Malaclemys terrapin pileata, 371 nucleotides. RefSeq lists it as uncharacterized. The transcript is spliced from 3 exons. The record is from RefSeq and is a predicted model, not a curated record. NCBI's taxonomy places the organism in Eukaryota, Metazoa, Chordata, Testudines, Emydidae.
GGCCGGGGCCGGGGCCGGGAGCGCAGCGCGGACGCUGCUCCAGCCCUGCAGCCCGCGGGGCAGCGCGGAGCCCCCACGAGAGCGUCUGGCCCCUCUGAGAAAAGAGAGAGAAGCAGCCAAAGCCGAGGAGCAGCAGCAAAGCGAGGAGCUGCUGAAACAGACGGAAGCCGAGAGGCGGAAGGUCGUCUGGGAGUUGCAGGAGCUGCGAGGGUUUCUGGAGGAGCAGGAGCAGUGGCUGCUGUCCCGGCUGGAAGAGCUGGAGAGAGCCAUUGUCCAGAGAAGGGAUGAGGGCGUUUGCAGACUGUCCCGGGAGAUUUCCCUGCUCAGUGAGAGGGGAGGAGAGAAGGGACAGCAGUCGCUGAGCCAGCCCC